This 3151-nucleotide unclassified non-coding RNA is filed under the name Leishmania donovani. RNAcentral's name for it is "gene:LdHU3.24.1830(CDS-product:NPK1-related_prote in_kinase-like)". Lineage: Eukaryota; Euglenozoa; Kinetoplastea; Trypanosomatida; Trypanosomatidae. The record is from RNAcentral.
CACCUUCAUUGCGUCUCCAUCAGACAGAUGUAAAAGGCCAUGCGCAACAGCUUCUCGCAUACGCUCUUCGCCAACGUAGUGGAUCCACGCAGCCCUUCACACCGACAGACACACACGUGCAUCACUUUCCUCCCCUCCAAUCACCCUCUUCUCUCUUCCUGAAUUGCCUUAGCGGCUGGGACACUCUCGUGUAGAUGCCUGGGGGAGGCAGGAUGGUGACGACCAUCGGCAACGGCGGUGGAGUUGUGGCCACGUGUGGGCAGUGCGGCACGGCGUUUCAAAAGUUGAGCGCGCGUUUUUGCAGCCGAUGCGGCGCGCGGCGUGAUAUUCCAGCUGCGGCGGCCGUGACGGCCGCCGCCGCGGCGAGAAAGCCGAAGCCCAAAGAGGCGGUUGUGUCGAUGCCACCCUUGGCCUCUGCCGGCAAGGAGUCCGUCUCGCGGCCACCGGCUGAUGGCGCGAAGGGCACGCUGCGGCCGUUUGAUCUAGAGAAGCUCGGCGAGAAGCGAAGUAGCGGCGGCGGUAGUGUGGCCCCACCGCCCUUGACAGAGGUGUCGGCGUCUGCGCUAGAGUUUCGCGACCCAAGCGAGGCCACCUCCAUCACCACACCCAAGCGGCGAGCUAGCCUUGCAACGGCAGCUGGAGGUGUGCUUUCCUCUGCCGUUGAUGCUUCUCUGACCCUUUCUGAUCAGCAGCGGCGGCGCGAGCAACGCGCGUCUUCCAAUUACGUCAAGGACGGCUCACUCACCGGGCCACCUCUGGCAUCGAUGGCUGACCGGGACCAGCUUGAGCAUGUGCUCACUUCGUCUUCACAGGAUGACGCGGCGAUGGGAGGCGCUGCGGGCAACGGCGUUGACCGAAGUCACGUCCCCAUUCCGCCCCCCGAGCAGCGCCCGCCGUCCACCUUUCCACUAUCUGUAGCGCUAGUACGCAGGGACGGGGGCAGAGCAGCAGUGACGGAUGGCGCAGACUUCAAGGGCGCCUCGGUGAAAACAGCUCCCACUGCCUGGCCGGCGGAAGCGCAGGCGUCCACGAGCAACGGUGGCGACACCGAAGAGGCUAUCGCGUCUCUGCGGCCAUCGGCGGAGGAGGAGGCGCAGUACACUGCCUGGGUGACGCUCUCGCCUGACGACCUCACCCCGGAGAUGUUGCAGACUAGCAAUGCCAGCGAGCUGCGACAGUGGCGCAAGGGCAGCCUCAUCGGCCGCGGCACCUACGGGUCUGUCUAUCUAGGGCUCCUUCCUGACGGCAGCUUCCACGCCGUCAAGUGCGUGGAGCUGGGCAACAGGAAGGCUGCAGCAGAUCACCUCGGCGCCCUCGAGCUUGUCUCACUCUCGCGCGAGGUCAACAUGAUGCAUCGCUUGCGACACCGAAACCUCUGCACGUUCAAAGGCGUCUACUUUGACUCGGAGAGCGCCUGCGUCUGCAUGUUCAUGGAGUACAUCGGCGGCGGCUCCCUCUCCGCUCUCGUCAAGAAGUUCAAGCCGCUGCCAUCCUCGGUGGUGCGCAGCUGGACGCAGCAGCUGCUCUCAGGGUUACACUACUUACAUAGCCAGCACAUCAUUCACCGCGACAUCAAGGGCGACAAUGUGCUGGUCGACACCACAGCCGAUCCAGCCACCAAGUCGCAGAUCAAACUUGUCGACUUUGGGGCGGCGCGGCGGCUGACAGAUGCCGUGUCGCAGAGCAGCACCGUGAUCGGCACACCGUACUGGAUGGCGCCCGAGGUGGUGGACGCGUCCGGAGACGGGAGCGGGUAUAGCUAUAAGGCGGACGUGUGGUCGGUGGGGUGCACUGUGGCGGAGAUGCUGACGGGGCGGCCGCCGUGGCCGUGCAAGACGAGUGCACCAGCCGCUAUCAUGAUGAUUGCGUCUGCCACCGGGAUGCCGACGGAAAUUCCGGAAGAGGAGGCGACGCCAGGAUGCCUAGACUUCAUGCGCCAGUGCUUCAUCCGUGACCCGGAGAAGCGGCCGACGGUGCAGCAGCUGCUGCAGCACCCGUGGAUACAAGUAAAGAUGGAGUAGUGGGGGGGGGGAGAGAUCGAGGGAAGGGAUAGACAAAGUUCGGGUGAGAGCGCAACGCCCUGUGCCGCGAUAUCGACGACCCCCUCCACUUGCUCAUCACCGUCGCCGCUGCACUGUUUCUCUUCCCUUUCUCUCGCUCUUUCCCCAUCCCCACGCUCACUCACACAGACACGCUGCGCUUCUCUUGCAUCGUUGCGUGGGCGUGGACGACUUCUCGUUUAACAGCGACAGGAUGUACAUGGAACCUGCUGGGUUUCUCUGGUGUAUAGGUAUACGGAUAUAUGUAUUGUCCCUCUUCCUUUUUUUUCUUUCUGCUGUGGCUAUGUGUCGAUGAGCAACCGAAGCGGCGACAUUGUCCUCGCAAAGGACGCGACCAAGUGCGAAGGACGAAGGAUAGAUCGCGCGCCUGCUCAAGCAGCGAUCAAACCUUUCACAACUCUCUCUCCCUCUUCUCUCCCCCUUAUGUGUGUUGCAGCAUCUCUUUGUGUCCGUAGAUGGGCCGCCUUUCUCCGCUGUCUUCCUUUCCGACUCUCUCACACCCACACCCACACGCUCUGCAUGUUGGCUCUUGUUGUUUUCUAUUGAUUUGCACAUACCUGUGCGCGUGUGCCCCGCUGUGUCCGUCUCUUGUGGCGCUUUACAUCAUCUCCGCGUGUGCCGUGCCCUGCGCACCCCUUCGCCAUUCGUGUCCGUCUCUCUCUCUUUGCUCUGUACUUAAGCAGUCUGUAGCGACCGGAAUACACAAGGAGACGCACCACCCACCACCGCCACUCCGAUAAGGAAAGCGAAACACGACCACAGAGGAGGAAAAGCGCCAUGAUAGAACCCUCCCUUCCACGAAGCGCCCCUCAGGAAUGCAUGCUUGCGUGUGCGCAAGAGCGCGCACCGCUCUCUCCUGUCUCCCCCCUCCGCCUCCGCCAUGUCCAAAGAAGAGACGGCGCAGGUUCCAUGGCUGCCACGCCCUUCUUAUCCUCCUCCUUCACCUUCACACUCUUUUUCUUGUCCCUCCUUGAUGGAACUCCCUGACAACGCGCCUCAUCCUUCUUUGCUCACUGCUGUACACAUGCGCAUGCAUGCAUCUCGGGCAUUGAUGCUGUGGCAUACCCUUCCAUUCGCUUUUAUCUCUGGAG